Molecule: non-coding RNA, 107 nt
Organism: Pelobates cultripes (western spadefoot toad)
Lineage: Eukaryota; Metazoa; Chordata; Amphibia; Anura; Pelobatidae
Source: the annotation of a GenBank genome assembly
GUGCUUCCUCUGGCAGCACAUAUGCUAAAAUUGGAACCAUACAGAAAAGAUUAGCAUGGCCACUGCAUAGGGAUGACCUGCAAAUUUGUGAAGCGUCCCAUAUUUUU